ACGCCGGGAAAAAGCCCGAGGGCUCCGCCCCUUCCGCCCAGGGCCCCACCCUUUCCGCCCAGGGCCCCACCCUUUCCGCCUGGUUUUUCGGUUGCCGCGGUUACUACGCGCUCUUCUUUCAUCCGGGCUCUACUGGUGAAAAUAACUGCAGACCGCUGGUAAAAAGUUGGAAGAGCUUUCGUUAAGCGUCGGAUAUGUAAAGUGCUGAGUUAGGGGCUGGACUAGAGACGUUGGGACACCUCCCGGGAACAGCAGCCUGGAGGGGAAAAAUCUCCUAAGUGGUCAUUCGGCCUUGGCGCUGGGACACGGGAGUGCGGCGACAGCCAUAUGUCUAUCCAUCUUGGCACUUCUUUUCCGUCCGCUGCCUUUGAAGAUGGGUGUGCCCGGCAGGCUGUGAAAGAUAAACAUUAGAGGGUUGUUUAGAAGACUUUUUUGACCUGAGUCCAUGAGGUGCAUACCCUUCGUUUGGCGGAGAAACCAGUAGCUUCUGAAGAUCAGGGAUACCCACGGGCCACAAGUGCGAGGCAUUGCAGACAUUUCGAACCCAGACUUCCAGCCUGGAGACAUCCACACGCUUUCAGUUUCUUGCACUGGUACUUCAUUCUGUCUUAUGAUUGCCACCACUCGUAACUGAGAGUUGGGUGCCCUCAAGUUUUGAGUGUCUGCAGGGUACCUUUGAGCCUUCUUAGCUGUGUAGUGAGUGGGGGGAAUGGAGAAAAUGAAGGACAGAUGACUGAUUUGUAGUAUUUCAUUUGGACACUGCCCUUGCCGCACAAGCAGAGCAGCUUGAACCUCUUUGAGCAAGAGUCGAGAGUUCUUUUACAGCUAAUUACCCCCUAGUUAAACUUGAUCAUACUGUGCUGUUUUCUUCGUCUCCAUUAUCAAUGUAAUACGGCUCCUGAUAAAAGUUAAAUUCGCCGGGCGUGGUGGCUCACCCCUGUACUCCCAGCACUUUGGGGGCUGAGGCAGGUGGAUCACCUGAAGUCAGGAGUUCGAGACCAGCCUGGCCAACAUGGUGAAACCCCAUCUCUACUAAAAAUACAAAAGUUAGUCGAGUGUGGUGGCGGGCGCCUGUAAUCCCAACUACUCGGGAGGCUGAGGCAGGAGAAUCGCUUGAACCCGGCGGGGGCGGAGGUUGCGGUGAGCUGAGAUCGUGCCACUGCACUCCAGCCUGGGAGACAGAGUGAAACUCCGUCUCAAAAAAAAAAAAAAAGCGGGCACUGUGGCUCACGCCUAUAAUCCCAGCAUUUUGGGAGGCCGAGGCGGGAGGAUCUCGAGGUCAAGAGUUGGAGACCAGCCUGACCAACAUGGAGAAACCCCGUCUCUACUAAAAAUACAAAAUUAGCCGGGCGGGGUGGUGGGCACCUGUAAUUCCAGCUACUCGGGAGGCUGAGGCAGGAGAAUCCUUUGACCCCGGGAGGCAGAGGUUGCGGUGAGCCGAGAUCGCCCCGCUGCACCCCAGCCUGGGCAACAGAGCAAGAUUACGUCUCGAAAAACAAACAAACAAACAAAAAACAAUUUAAAAGACACAGAAUGGACUGGUGGCAGUGGCCCACGCCUGUAAUCCCAGCACUUUGGGAAGCCAAAGCGGAAGGAUCGCUUGAAGUCAGGAGAACAGCCUGGGCAGCAUAGUGAGACCUCGUUAAUACUUGAAAAAAAAAAAAAAAAAGUUUUGCUCUUUGCAGUAAAUCCUGCUGCUGCUCACUCCUUGGGCCUGCACUGCCUUUAUGAGCUGUAACACUCACUGGAAGGUCUGCAGGUUCACUCCUGAAGCCAGCAAGACCGUGAACCCACCGGGAGGAGGGAACAGUGCCGUCUUUAUGAGCUGUAACACUCUGUAACACUCACUGCAAAGGUCGAAGGACUGCAGCUUCACUCCUGAAGUCAGCGAGACCACGAACCCACCAGAAGGAAGAAACUCCGGACACAUCUGAACAUCAGAAGGAAUAAACUCUGGACACACCAUCUUUAAGAACUAUAACACUCACCUCGAGGGUCUGUGGCUUCAUUCUUGAAGUCAAGGAGACCAAGAACCCACCGGAAGGAACCAAUUUUGGACACAAUAGGAAAUCUCUCAUGUGGAAUACUAUAUCAAAAGAGAGAAGCCAAAAUGAUAUCAUAUGCUGAAAAUGUUAAUGGAAUUCCACAGCCUUGCCUAUUAAAAACUCCACAGUUUGAGCACAGCAUGGAAUCAAAAUUUAAAAAAUAAACAUGACAUAGUAUUUUUAUCAUUUGA
Symphalangus syndactylus (siamang) is the source of this 2236-nucleotide long non-coding RNA. RefSeq lists it as uncharacterized. The record is from RefSeq and is a predicted model, not a curated record. Lineage: Eukaryota; Metazoa; Chordata; Mammalia; Primates; Hylobatidae.